CCUACGUGUGGCAGCAGUGAGGAAUAUUGGUCAAUGGGCGAGAGCCUGAACCAGCCAAGUCGCGUGAGGGAGUACUGCCCUAUGGGUUGUAAACCUCUGUUGUCGGGGAGCAAAAGCCGGACGUGUCCGGCUGUGAGAGUACCCGAAGAAAAAGCAUCGUCUAAAUACGUGCCAGCAGCCGCGGUAAUACGGAGGAUGCGAGCGUUAUCCGGAUUUAUUGGGUUUAAAGGGUGAGCAGUCGGAUUUUUAAGUAGGCGGUCAAAUCGAGGGGCUCAACCCCAUCCAGCCGGUGAAACUGGGGAUCUAGAGUGUGCGAGAGGUAUGCGGAAUGCGUGGUGUAGCGGUGAAAUGCAUAGAUAUCACGCAGAACCCCGAUUGCGAAGGCAGCAUACCGGUGCACAACUGACGCUCAGGCACGAAAGCGUGGGUAUCGAACAGGAUUAGAUACCCGGGUAGUC
This 458-nucleotide ribosomal RNA is filed under the name uncultured bacterium. Its description in RNAcentral is "partial 16S ribosomal RNA". It matches the Rfam family "Bacterial small subunit ribosomal RNA", at positions 338 to 795 of the family's 1533-position model. The record is from RNAcentral.